GCAGUGUACCCGCGGCAAGACGGAAAGACCCCGUGAACCUUUACUAUAGCUUGACACUGAACAUUGAGCCUUGAUGUGUAGGAUAGGUGGGAGGCUUUGAAGCGUGGACGCCAGUCUGCGUGGAGCCGACCUUGAAAUACCACCCUUUAAUGUUUGAUGUUCUAACGUUGGCCCCUUACCGGGGUUGCGGACAGUGUCUGGUGGGUAGUUUGACUGGGGCGGUCUCCUCCCAAAGCGUAACGGAGGAGCACGAAU
RNAcentral lists this ribosomal RNA (255 nucleotides) under Klebsiella pneumoniae. RNAcentral describes it as "partial 23S ribosomal RNA". It matches the Rfam family "Bacterial large subunit ribosomal RNA", at positions 2061 to 2315 of the family's 2925-position model. The record is from RNAcentral. Lineage: Bacteria; Pseudomonadati; Pseudomonadota; Gammaproteobacteria; Enterobacterales; Enterobacteriaceae.